Molecule: ribosomal RNA, 392 nt
Filed under: uncultured bacterium
Lineage: Bacteria
Description: partial 16S ribosomal RNA
Rfam family: Bacterial small subunit ribosomal RNA
Source: RNAcentral
AUACGUAGGGGGCGAGCGUUGUCCGGGUUUAUUGGGCGUAAAGGGUGCGUAGGUGGUUUCUUAAGUCAGAAGUGAAAGGCUAUGGCUUAACUGUGGUAAGCAUUUGAAACUGCAGGGCUUGAGUACAGGAGAGGAGAGUGGAAUUCCUAGUGUAGCGGUGAAAUGCGUAGAUAUUAGGAGGAAUACCAGUGGCGAAGGCGACUCUCUGGACUGAUACUGACGCUGAGGCACGAAAGCGUGGGGAGCAAACAGGAUUAGAUACCCUGGUAGUCCACGCUAUAAACGAUGAGUGCUAGGUGUCGGGGGUCAAACCUCGGUGCCGCAGUUAACACAUUAAGCACUCCGCCUGGGGAGUACGGCCGCAAGGCUGAAACUCAAAGGAAUUGACGGGG